GCUAUGACUGGGGUGAAGUCGUAACAAGGUAGCCGUACCGGAAGGUGCGGCUGGAUCACCUCCUAA
Molecule: ribosomal RNA, 66 nt
Filed under: uncultured Prochlorococcus sp.
Lineage: Bacteria; Bacillati; Cyanobacteriota; Cyanophyceae; Synechococcales; Prochlorococcaceae
Description: partial 16S ribosomal RNA
Rfam family: Bacterial small subunit ribosomal RNA
Source: RNAcentral